This 1326-nucleotide long non-coding RNA is filed under the name Nicotiana benthamiana. RNAcentral's name for it is "long non-coding RNA (NBEN_LNC006570)". Lineage: Eukaryota; Viridiplantae; Streptophyta; Magnoliopsida; Solanales; Solanaceae. The record is from RNAcentral.
AUUAAUUGACAAAAUACACAAAAAUUUACCUAAUCCUAGACUUUACAUAUAAAGUAAUGCUUAAAAUCUGAAGAGGACACAAAAAGAUAAGGCUGAAAAACUGAAAGAGAGAUCAGCGCAGCUUUUUUGACAAAAGAGAGACCGGACCCCCUCCCCCCAGAUCGUUUGCUUCAAUUCACCCAACGCCCAGCUUCUGCUUCCACCAAAAAAACUAACCCGGCUUGAGCUUCAACCACAAACAAGACCCCUAACACAAAGACCCUCCAUUCUCCAAAGGAUAUCUACACACACAAGAACACCCAUACUUUGAGAUUUCUUUAAUGUGAAACCCAUAUGACAGAACCACCAGUUGCCGAAAAACAUGUAGCUCCGGAAACCUUCCAUUGGAUCCGGCGAAAUAGAGUUCGAACCCAGCGGUGAACCUAUCUUCAAAACUCCCUGAAACUACACCACAUCAGUGCGAAAGUCAGCUAAAAUUCGCUACCCAAAUCUAGUCGAGUGGAUCUAUUCAGGUCGCCGUUUCCGGUCCGUUGAGUUUUUCGUUGAUACGCUGUUCGAGUUCUGUCGAGUUUGUUUCUGCCUUCAUUUAGCUUGUUUGAGCUUUUCUUUGGGCGAUCAGGAAAGUUGUGGAAACGUUCUCGCUUAUGCUUUAUUGAAAUGAUAAAAAAUUGUUGUUUCCUCUUUAGCUUCUCGUAGAUUGGUUCCAGUUCUGAUCUCUGUUAUUCUAGUGUGUAAGAGAUGUGUAUUUCUUCUCAAAUUGGUUGAAAUUGUUUGAAAAUACUAGAGUACGAUAUCUAUUGAAAUUAGUUUAAUCCCGGUUUUCAGCUAUGAGUGCUUGUGUUGGUUAAUCUAAGCAUGUUUGAAUUAGUUUAAAUUUUACAGAUUUGCCGAACUUUUUUUUGCUUUAUGGAAAAUUUCUGUUGUUCAUAAGAUAUCUUUAGAGAAUGGAGGUGUUAGAACAUUGAUAAAGUUUAGUUUAUUCAAUUUUUGUAUUUCUUUUCCUUUGAACCAAGCUUUACAGAUCUAUCCAUGAACUUUGGUAUUUUUCAUUGCAUUUGAUUGGUUUUAAAUUGCCCUUUUAUAAGGUCAAAUAUUUGCAGGGAUCUCAAACCAAUAUGAUCUGACUCUUUGUUAAUUCUUGUCACGAUUAGGCAGUGAUGAUUAGUUAUAGUGCACCGUAAGGGAUUGAAAUGCUAAAACGAGAAAUAUGCAGCACUUUCAUAUUAUCCUUUGAUCGUUAAUUUUGGGUUGUUAACACGUGGACAUGAAUUGAGUUUUCAUUUUAUUUAGUUCUAUUGUUAAUCGAGGUGCCCCAUGAGUAAAUGA